CACGCCAAAUUGUGUUUAUAAGGAAACAAACUGUGUCGACGUUGCGGAUUUGUUGGAUGGAGUUUUUUUUGUUGCUGUUGGAUUUAUGUUUCACUGAUUUAUGGAUCGUUCCAAGAAGUUUUCCCCAGUCUGGAAUAAUUUCGAUUUUUUUAAUGCCAAAUAAGAUGAAGUGUCGGCUCUGCUCCACAGAGCUAUCUUACAUCAAUAAGAGUACUUCAUCAAUGCUGAGGCAUUAAAGAGCUCGGCAUGGCAAUGAAGAAUUGGCAGAUACUCGUGUGAGUACCCAGUUCCUAACAAGCAAGCAGUGGAUGAGGCUGUGGUCAACAUGAUCAGAGACUGUCAGCCACUCACCAUUGUUGAAAAUGAGGGAUUCAGGGAGCUCCUGAAGCUUAUCAACUCGCACUUACAUUUUUAUGCUCACCAUCUUCAUCUGUACCCUGUGAAAGAGUUUUUUCUAAGAUAGGGGAACUGGUGUCUAAGAGGAGAAAUCGCCUUGGAGCAAAGAGUUCAAAAACUUUUGUUCCUCAAUAAAAAUGCAUAAAUGAAUCAA
This is a long non-coding RNA of Phyllopteryx taeniolatus (common seadragon), 550 nucleotides long. RefSeq lists it as uncharacterized. The transcript is spliced from 3 exons. Lineage: Eukaryota; Metazoa; Chordata; Actinopteri; Syngnathiformes; Syngnathidae. The record is from RefSeq and is a predicted model, not a curated record.